AACCAAGGACCGGUUGGAGUAGUUUCCUCCCUGAAGGCAUCUGAAAAGAAACAUGUUUGUUUCCACAGCACAUUCAUGAAUGCUUCAGAGGACAUCUUGACCUUUUCCUCAUUUUGCACUGACAGUAGAGAAUGAAGGUUCCACCCACUGAGACCAAGCCUCCUCCACCCGUGGGUGCUUCUCCACAUGCUACGAUGGCUACCUGUCCCCUUGUCCAGAGACAUGGAUGAAGCUUUCAGCUUACAGUUCUGUCCUUGAUAAAAGUCAAAGCACCACCACAGUCAGCCAUGCAUCCAGGGGUCCCUUGCAUGGCACAGCUCCUGUCUCAGUCAUUUGAUUGGCCUCAUAAUUCUAUGAGUGGGUCAGAAGAUCAUGU
RNAcentral lists this long non-coding RNA (376 nucleotides) under Rattus norvegicus (Norway rat). RNAcentral's name for it is "long non-coding RNA NONRATT033275". Lineage: Eukaryota; Metazoa; Chordata; Mammalia; Rodentia; Muridae. The record is from RNAcentral.